Non-coding RNA from Phasianus colchicus (ring-necked pheasant), 2896 nucleotides. Lineage: Eukaryota; Metazoa; Chordata; Aves; Galliformes; Phasianidae. The record is from RefSeq and is a predicted model, not a curated record.
CUGUAGCAUUGCCUGAGGUUGUUGUGGCUGAAGUGCAGGACCUGGCACUUGGUCUCAUUGAACCUCACCCUGCUGUCCUCAGCCCAGCCAUCCGGCCUGUCCAGAUCACUCUGUAAGGCAGAUCAACACUUCCUCCCAACUUGGUGUCAGCUGCAAACUUACUGAGGGUGCACCCAAUCUCCUCAUCCCAGUCAUCAGCAAAAUACAUUAAACAGGACAGGCUCCAGGUGACGUGACAUAAAUUAUGUGCAGGCACAAUCACUGUCAAAAGCCAGUAGCAUGGCACAGCGUGCGGGGCACAAACUUACAUUUGUAACACCUACACUUCACUCUGACCUUUUGCACAGACCUGCAGCAUUCUCAAGAGCACUGGAAAAUGCUACUUCAGUUAUGUGAUAUAGCUCUAAGUUACUGAAAUAUGGAAACUGCAUUUAUACCUUUCUUGUUGGCGCUAAGCCCAUCUAUUCCAAAUGAUGAGCAGGGCUAUUGCCCAAUGAAAAAAGAAAUAGAGCCAGAAGAGAGCUAUCGUUUGAAUCAGUAUUCUUCUAUUUUCAUCCUUCAAACUGUCAACAUCAGAAGACUAUGAUAAAAUAAGUCAUAUACUGCAGUAGUUUAACACGGUUUUAUAUUUAGGAUUUCACUGCUACUACAGUCUUGAGAUAAAAUACUGCUGAGCAGUUUCACUGGUGACAAUAUAUACUGAAACAGUCAAUGAAUCACCUUGCCUUCAAGUUUCAUUUAUGAACGGAUCUGCAUUAAAAACACUGAAUGUUAACAAGCAAAUAGGUGGGAUUUCAACUACAAAAGUCAUUUUUAAAAAGUCAUUUCCUGAGCUAGUAACUUUCAUUAAUAAAAAGAAAUACGCUAAGAUCUCUAGUAUUAAAAAAGAGGAAAAACUCCUGUAUCAUUUAGAGCUUACUACAGCACAUUCUCUUGACACACGGGAAAGGCAUGUGCAGUAAAAACCAUUCUUCUUCCCUGAUGCUGACAUUAAAGACUUCUCCCUAAAAUAUAUCUGAAUUUAAAUGCUUGGUUUGUGGUUGCACAUCCUACAGAAUUAUACUAAAUAAUAAAUGGCAAAGAAAUAUUCAAAGAGACAAGCUCACUAUUAACUCCACGUUUCUGUAGGAUACAGAAUAUGCACUAUUUAUUUUUCAUUUACAUCAUGCAUUUAAAAGUAAUGAGAUUACCAACUGACAAUCUCUGAUUUUGAAAAAAGUAAAACUACAGAGAACAGACAGGUGAAUAAUCAAAGAGUAACUGCUUUGAAAGCUGAGUGCAUUAGGAAGCAGUUCACGCUCCAUUACUAUUUCUGCUGAAACCUACCAUGGCCGCUUUGCUGCACUUCAGGUUUUGAGGAAGCUCAAGUUCAAUAAUAAACAAGCUUGUCCCAUAUGAUAUUUGUGAAUGAACCCUUUUAACAGCUAUGAAGUGAUACGCAAGCAUCAGCCAACCACACAAGCACAAAUUAUAGUUUAGUAUUUUGAUGGCUAAAAUUUAAUCGUCCUACUCUAGUUUUAUUUGCUCAUCACCAUGCAUUGAACCACACAGCAUCUACUUUAUUUAAACUCAAAGGUCCAACACAUCAAGUGUAAACUAACGUGAAAUCUGCAGAAACAAAGCUAGAAACAGGCCUUGAGAACUUGCCUAUCCUAUUUUCCCUGUCCAAAGCAGGACCAACUGCAUUUCUCUUGCUUUCAGGGGGUAUCUGUCAAAUCUUUACUCACAGUCCUCCAAUAGACUAAACUCCAAAGCAUCCUGAGAUGACUUCUUCCAUUAUUUAAUCAUCUUUAUCACCAGAAAGUUCUAAGAACUUACCUGUAUUUUUCUUGCUACAAUCUAAUCCACCACUUCACAUUCUUUGUGGCCAUGCUGACUUGGACAAGAUAUCCCUCUUUGCCCUGCAGUACUCUAAAAUAUUUGAAAACUAUCUAAACUAAUAUCAAACAUAACAACCUACCGUUAAAGGAAUUCAUCAUUUAGUGGAUCAAUUUCUCUUCAUUCUAGGUCAUUUGCACUGUUCUUUGGAUUGCCUCCAUUUUGUCCACAUCCUUCUUCAAGAGUGUGUUGAAACUCCUAUUUUUCAGCUGAAACAAGUAGCAGCCAAUUUUUAAUCCAGCACUGAAUUACUUCUCAGCCACAUUCAGUCUUCAGGAACUUUCAAACAGUAACAGCCAACCAUCUAUAUUGCCAAGGUUUAACAGUACAACUCACCAAGGGGCUUUUGAGUAAUGAAAAUUUGAGAACUUGAGAAAGAGAAUCACAACAUCAAGCAGCUCCAUGUGCACCAACUACAUCUGGUGUUUCACAGAGCAGGUAUAUGGUAUCUAUGUACACUUUUGCAGCAGUGUUACUUGGAAAUAUGCAAUGAUCAAUUCGCUACUGCAGAGCAGAGUGCACUAUCACCUAGGUCCUUGCUACCUUUCUAACUUAGACUUCCCUCUCUAUAUUUCCUUGCCUGUCCAUUUUAUUCUUGGUUUAACUUCUGACCUGGUGACUAUUUCAAAACUCAUGACUGCAGUGAAAUAGUGGCCAUCAGGAGCUGAUGACAAGCGAUUUAGCAUGAUCCACUGCCUGGCUUCUGCCAAUUGGCCGGCAGAGUCCAAGAAGCAAUUCUUGCACAGACUCCUUUCAUUCAACAUCUUCUCAAACAGAAAUCAAAACAAAGCCAAACUGUUCUCUGAACCAACUAGAGUUUUUAAAUCAUCACCACCAUAAUCCCAAUUAGUUAAUGUCAGAGUAUUUGUUUGUCAGUAAUACUUAAGUUAAUGUUGAUCUUGCAUCUAAAGGCACACAUGCUGCAAAUUUCACCAUACAAAGUCUAUGCCAUUGUUUAAAUCACCUAUAAAAAUAAUAAAUAGCAUUAAACAAACGCAGUUGUCUUUAUCAGACAGGC